GUAGUAUCUGUUCUUAUCAGUUUA
This 24-nucleotide non-coding RNA is filed under the name Cricetulus griseus (Chinese hamster). Lineage: Eukaryota; Metazoa; Chordata; Mammalia; Rodentia; Cricetidae. RNAcentral also lists the same sequence under 1 other name. The record is from RNAcentral.